UUUCUGAACUCCAACGCUGCUCCAGAAAUCUUCAGGGUGCAAGAUUUAGUUCUACCUGAUGCUGCAAAAAAGGAUCGUUGUCUUUUUUCAUUUCUAGCCUUAGUUUGCUUUUGUUCUAGCAUGUAGGCUGUGUGGUGUUUCUUUUGGAGGUUUAUGUUUUGCUUGAGUUGACACUUGUUGGAUGUAUGCCCCUGUAUAACCGGUAAUCCCGGUGCCCCAAACUGUUUACGCUUACCGUUGCUUUAAUGAAAAAGCAGGGCAGUGUUGCCUUUGUCAAAAAAAAAAAAAAGCUUGUUUGUUUUCAGAAUGGGCUCAGGUUCUGUGAGCCAGACUUCGACCUUACCAAGUGAAAUCAACCGUUGAGUCUCGAAAGAACAAGGGCUCCAUGUAACUGAUGAUUCAAAGAUUACAAAAUGCACAAAUGACUUCCUCAGACAGGGGGCAAUAUGCCAAGUUCAUUGUCAACUAUGAUUAAUAGCAGCUUUUGUUAUUGAUGGAGGUGUAAAGAGGCUUUUAAGUGUUGUUGUUCCUACUUCUAAUGUUAGCUAUGUUCAACUUUAACAUUUCAUCUGAUUAAGCCUCACCAUUAUGCUGUCACUUAUAGCCUCUUGUGCUGUUGAGUUUAUUC
Long non-coding RNA from Oryza brachyantha (malo sina), 628 nucleotides. RefSeq lists it as uncharacterized. The record is from RefSeq and is a predicted model, not a curated record. Lineage: Eukaryota; Viridiplantae; Streptophyta; Magnoliopsida; Poales; Poaceae. The transcript has 3 exons.